Molecule: long non-coding RNA, 708 nt
Organism: Globicephala melas (long-finned pilot whale)
Lineage: Eukaryota; Metazoa; Chordata; Mammalia; Artiodactyla; Delphinidae
Source: RefSeq, a predicted model, not a curated record
AGAAAGUAUCUGCUCACUAGUCUUUUGCUGUUGUUAUUUUUUUUUCUGAAUGCUCCAAUUCAAAAACCUCAUCCUACCACAUUUUUUAGUCGUUAAAUCUCCCUGUCCUUGUGGCUCUGUCUCUAUGCACCAGAGAAACGACCUCAUUAACAAAGUAGUUCUGUGCGUCCUUAACACUGAGGCCCUAGACUUCAGCUGGAGGCAGCUCUCUGCUCAGCCCGCAGUGCCGAGUGACACAGGCAGGCGACAUCAUCUGAGUACUAACUUCUACUACAUCCAGACAGACUGCGAGAACCAUUUCCGAAUCGUGGCAAGACGUAAGAGCAGCAAAGGGUUAGCUGCAAAGUUUUGGACAAGACCUCUACAGGCAACUGGAAGCACAGUGUACCCAGGUGGUGGGUCUCGUCUGUGGCAAUAUAUUUUUCUGUCUGUCCAAUUGAAUAUGGCUGUAAAGGGAAUAAAACCCCAUGUAAUCUCCAGCAGUGACAAUUUAAUCAGUUGUGUAAGGGGAAGAAGCAGAGUCCUCUCAUUUUCAUAUUUGCAUAUUUGAUUUUCGCUUUGGGGAAUAGAGGUUAUGUGUUUCUAUUACUUCCCGUUCAAUUUUAAUAUUUAACCCAUUUAGGAGCAAAUUUUUUCUCAUGGUAGGAAAUAUUGAGUCAAACUGGUCAAAAAAUAAGAUUUCAUUUCUGAAAUAAAGCUCUGGAUGCA